This 440-nucleotide ribosomal RNA is filed under the name uncultured bacterium. RNAcentral describes it as "partial 16S ribosomal RNA". It matches the Rfam family "Bacterial small subunit ribosomal RNA", at positions 338 to 795 of the family's 1533-position model. The record is from RNAcentral.
CCUACGGGAGGCAGCAGUAGGGAAUAUUGCUCAAUGGGGGAAACCCUGAUGCAGCAACGCCGCGUGGAGGAGGAAGGUUUUCGGAUUGUAAACUCCUUUUGUUAGAGAAGAUAAUGACGGUAUCUAACGAAUAAGCACCGGAUAACUCCGUGCCAGCAGCCGCGGUAAUACGGAGGGUGCAAGCGUUACUCUGAAUCACUGGGCGUAAAGAGGGCGUAGGCGGGAUAGCAAGUCAGAUGUGAAAGCCUAUGGCUUAACCAUAGAAAUGCAUUUGAAACUGUUAUUCUAGAGUAUGGGAGAGGUAGGUGGAAUUCUUGGUGUAGGGGUAAAAUCCGUAGAGAUCAAGAGGAAUACUCAUUGCGAAGGCGACCUGCUAGACCAUAACUGACGCUGAUGCGCGAAAGCGUGGGGAGCAAACAGGAUUAGAUACCCUUGUAGUC